Molecule: ribosomal RNA, 303 nt
Filed under: uncultured bacterium
Lineage: Bacteria
Description: partial 16S ribosomal RNA
Rfam family: Bacterial small subunit ribosomal RNA
Source: RNAcentral
AGCAGUCGCCGCGGGAAUACGUAGGUCCCGAGCGUUGUCCGGAUUUAUUGGGCGUAAAGCGAGCGCAGGCGGUUAGAUAAGUCUGAAGUUAAAGGCUGUGGCUUAACCAUAGUACGCUUUGGAAACUGUUUAACUUGAGUGCAAGAGGGGAGAGUGGAAUUCCAUGUGUAGCGGUGAAAUGCGUAGAUAUAUGGAGGAACACCGGUGGCGAAAGCGGCUCUCUGGCUUGUAACUGACGCUGAGGCUCGAAAGCGUGGGGAGCAAACAGGAUUAGAUACCCCGGUAGUCCCUGUCUCUUAUACA